RNAcentral lists this long non-coding RNA (453 nucleotides) under Prunus dulcis (almond). Its description in RNAcentral is "sRNA ncRNA". The record is from RNAcentral. Lineage: Eukaryota; Viridiplantae; Streptophyta; Magnoliopsida; Rosales; Rosaceae.
AAAAUAUCACAAGCUAUCCUCCUAAAAUAAGGCAACUUGUCUUCCAAAUUAACAUAAUAACCUAAUCCAACCAGCUAAUAAAGGUAAAACUGUCUUGUGAUAACAAAAUAACCAAACCAACUAAUAGAACACAGACAAGUGUGCAAGACCAUCAUCAUUCCUUGCUCAAGUCUGAUGCUCCCACAACCAUAGGUCGUUUCCUCAAUAAAUAAGAAUUGCCAGUUGGAGCUUUAGUUGAUGUAGGAGGGGCAGAUCCAGUUGUAAGAGACACAAAUCCACUUACAGGAUGGGCAGACGUUGAGGAUGGAGCAGCAGAAUCACUUGGCGGUACAUUUGAACUUCCAGCUGCAAUGGUGGCCUUUCUCUUCCAUUUUCCUUUUUGCACAGAUCUUGCAGGCUUAGUUCACCUUGUUGUUGUACUGGGACCAGCUUCACUUGUUUGAGUAGUUUGCU